UUUUUUUUUUUAAACAUCUAACCUUGUAUAUUUUACUGUUGGCUAUAGCAAUGCUUCUGUGCGUUCCUGGUCUUUCUGCCCUAUGUUCUCUGCUCCCAUCUGUCCCACCCUCCUCUGCUUUGUUCUCCUGUCAGAUCUCUGCACCUCCAGGCGAAGAAAGUGUUACGUGGAGCUGAGGGAGGCUGAGCAGUGCCAGCAUCCAACCCUGCGAGUCCCAGCGCCGAGGAUGGGAAAGGACCAAACCUGCUGCAGCACUCAUAGGAGGACAUUCAGCCUUUAUUGACGGUUGGGAAAGGCAGUACAGGAAAGCAGCAGUGCCAGACUGCCAGGCAAGAAUCAGACACAGCUGUGUGUCAGUGUGAUGCUGGUACUCCAGUGGGAGCUGUCUGCGGAUGGAUGGGCUGUGCUGGCUGUCAGCACACAGCGCUGAGGAGCGAAGCAGAUGGGUUCCAUCCCAAGGACAGCCUGGCUCCGCUCACCCCGCUGCGUUCCCAGGAGGGAUGGAGGAGAAAUUGACAUUGAGGUGGAAAGCAGUGCCAGGAGGUGAGCGGUCCGGCAGGGCGGGGGGGCUGCAUCCAGCCUGAGCGAAACCCCCCGCCCCAAUGAGACCCCCAGCUCUGCUGGGCACCCCCAAGUCCUGCACAGCCCCCCACUUCUUACCAACA
This is a long non-coding RNA of Phasianus colchicus (ring-necked pheasant), 665 nucleotides long. RefSeq lists it as uncharacterized. Lineage: Eukaryota; Metazoa; Chordata; Aves; Galliformes; Phasianidae. The record is from RefSeq and is a predicted model, not a curated record.